UAACUACAAACGUUUCUGCAGAGCC
Molecule: non-coding RNA, 25 nt
Filed under: Mus musculus (house mouse)
Lineage: Eukaryota; Metazoa; Chordata; Mammalia; Rodentia; Muridae
Source: RNAcentral